CAGAGAAGCUGAGAGAAUAAUCGAGAAGGAGGUAGAGAAGGAAAGAAGAGAUAGAGAAAGAAAAAGGGGGAAGAUGAUAAGAAAAAAUGGGAAAUAGGAAAGGAAAAAGAGAUUAUUGAAGAAGAUGAAAUAUGGACUCAAGUACAAGGUUCAUUUCUUUCAUUCUAUUCCAAGAGGAAAUAAGAAGAAGCAAGAGGUUUAAUUUCAUAAUGAUUAAUUCCGACUUGAAAGAAGAUGACAUGCUCUUUGGAGAAUUCCUGGUCAGAUAAGAACUUAAAAGGUUGGGAUAUAAUCAGCCUAUCGAAUUUGGUAAGGAUGGUUGGCCAAAGGGAUUAAACAUCAAAUCAAUUGUUUAUCUAGAGAUCAGACUGAUAUGUGAAUGUUGUGGUGUUUCUCAUUAUACUAAAAAUUGCUCAUAUUUGGCAACUCCAGUGGAAGUGAGAGAACGUUAUCCAUAUGAAGAAUAUUUUGAUUACAAUAAAAUAAUUACUGGAGACAUCAUCAUACAAAGAUGUAAAAAGAUUGAAGAUCAAAUAACUCUGGACGAGCCGAAUAACAUGCCAACGGAGGAUCUCUUCAUCAUUCAACCCGAGGAACUAACGACUAAAGAUGUAGAACAGGUGGAAAUCAAGAAAUUAGUCGUGAAGGAGUCAGAUGAAUUAGUUGCAUUCAAUGAAGAUGGGAUCAGCGUGCAAACUUCUAACUUCAUUGAAUUUGUGAUUAAGGAUGAUGAAAAGAUUGCAGUAUAUUUGAUUGAGUACGAAAUAGACAAUUUAGGCAGGUCAUAUCGUAUUCAAAAGGUAAAUGUAAGAGUUUGGAAAAUGUACGAGAUAUGGAACAAAGUCAAAUUAAGCAAGCUGAGCAGGAGCUCCAAAACCAUAUUCAAAGUGCCAUGAAAACUUGUGCAAAAGUCUAGCUAAUGACUUAAAAGAAGCAUUUCUUGGGAGGCAACCCAAGCUUUCUUUUUGUUUUAUUUAUUUUAAUUUCAAGUUAUAAGAUAGUUUAGUUUAUUAGUCUAUUUAGGAGACAUUACCCAUAUCCCGUUUACCCUUAGGUCAUUGAGUAAUUAAGUUGGUUAUUAGAUGUUUGAACUAAGUAACCCUUGUUCCAUGAGUUUAAUUUCUCAAAUCUAAUUUUUCAGGAACAUGACGUCGCGGAAUACUUAAACCAACAUUGACCUGGAGAAAAUGGGACAAAUCUCAAGUUUGGGGGAGAAUGUGGAAGAAGAGUCGAUCAAAUGCAACACCAAGACACCACAAUAUCAUAGGCAAUACUAACAUUUCAAGGAAGUCCUCAUUUUCCUUUAAAUUUAACAUUGAGGACAAUGUUUAGUUUAAAUUUGGGAGAGUGAAGUGUAUUAUUAUUAAUUGCCUACCUAAAAUUUUUUGAGUUGGACAUUUUGGCUUACAAUUAAUUUUGAGAUUUGGUAUUAAUUUAUGAACUGUGGAUAUGAUGCAUACUAGAUUGAUUGAAA
Molecule: long non-coding RNA, 1474 nt
Organism: Olea europaea var. sylvestris
Lineage: Eukaryota; Viridiplantae; Streptophyta; Magnoliopsida; Lamiales; Oleaceae
Exons: 2
Source: RefSeq, a predicted model, not a curated record